GCCAAAUGACUAUCUUGAUUUCUUCCAAGGAAAAAUGCUUCUCAAGCAAAGACCUAACAUCGUCAUUCAACCUUUGAAAAAAAAGACCCCCUCAAAGAAGGUCUUCUAUAAAAUAAUUCUUGAAAUCUAGUCUCAACGUGACUCUUAAUCUCUCUCUUCACCUCAUCCACCUUAUCCACCCAACCACUAUUCGAAUCAAUCCCCAAAAUACUAUUCCUCUGAAAUCUAUGAUUCAUUGCUUUAUGGAAGAAUUUGGAAUUAGAAUCCCCUUUUCCAAUCCACUUUUGUCUAGUCUAUUGUCUCAACAUACUCUCCUUAAGAAAACUCGAAUGCCACACUUCGUUAGAAGCUAAAGACCUCUUAGAAGCCAUAACUUCAACAUCUAGACCACCAACAUUAGCAACUUCAAAGUCCAAAGCAUUCAACUCCUU
Molecule: long non-coding RNA, 431 nt
Filed under: Lathyrus oleraceus (garden pea)
Lineage: Eukaryota; Viridiplantae; Streptophyta; Magnoliopsida; Fabales; Fabaceae
Description: Pisum sativum (pea) long non-coding RNA (PSAT_LNC017712)
Source: RNAcentral